Long non-coding RNA from Hippopotamus amphibius kiboko, 6212 nucleotides. RefSeq lists it as uncharacterized. The transcript has 5 exons. The record is from RefSeq and is a predicted model, not a curated record. NCBI's taxonomy places the organism in Eukaryota, Metazoa, Chordata, Mammalia, Artiodactyla, Hippopotamidae.
CCUGACGAGUAGGGAGGCUCAUACCCCCCUUCACGGAGGAUACCAGCAGUAUUGGCAUCCUGUCCUUUGGAAGCUGCCGGAGGCCUCACCCGACCCCCGGCUUCCGGCUUUCCGGACUGGUUGGCCUCGCAGGCAGCUCCUGCCAGAGUUGCUCACGGGAGGUGAGGAAGCGAAGGUGCUGAUGCGUGGCUGUCUGUGCGUGCAGUGCUUUGAUUACAGCUCAUGGAGUGAUCGCUCCCGAGAAGCCCCGCUGGAUUUUCAGUCCCGCUGCCAGCAGCAAAGAGACGUCUACACAAAGACGCUUGACCGCCAGGAUCAGAAACGCGAGCGAAGACUCCUCAGUGCCGACUUAGGAGGUGUCUAAGAAACAAGAUCACACCUGACCUAUCAGCAAAGAUGUAGCUCUUAUUUCCAGAGCAUCAGUUGGUAAAUUAGCCCUUAACGGCCAGUGGGGAAGGGCCCCGGUAGUCGGAGCACGGGCGGUGCAGCAGGAGGAAGUCUCCCAGGCCGCCCCCGGCCCCCACUCUCCCCCUCCCGCCCCGAACCAGGCCUCCUGGGCCGGGCCUGUGGGAGAUAACUUUCCCUCGCCGGGCCCGGCUGCAGGCUCCAGGCAGCAGGGAUCUGUCUCCCUUGCUCACUCCUGCUUCCUCAGCAUCUGGAAGAGCGCCAGGCGGAGGAGGCACUCCGUCGACAGCCGUGGAGUGAAUGAGUCCAUCGCUGAAGCCUGGCCUGAGCUGGGGAAGGGCUCCUCUCCUGUUCCAGGGCAGGCGCUGGUGGGAAAGCGGCUGCGGUUCUCCUUUGCAGUUCGGUUCAGAGAAGGCCUUGGGCUGACGGAACCAAGCUACAAGGAACAGCCACAGCCGGCUCCAAGUCACGUGUCCCGGUCACGUGGUGCUGAGACACAGAAACCGGCUGGCAAUCAUUAACUAACGCUCACUCCCGGGGAGAAAAUGAAGGUUUUAAAGACAGGAACUCUAUUUUUACAAAAACAACCAGGACUGCAAUCGAAGGGGCACCUGGUGCUGUUGGUGCCUGAGCUUUGGGAAGGCUCCGGAAUGUGAAAUGAAUUCAUCCUUAGCUUUAUCUGCCAUCAACUCCAGGCCUGUCGAUUCUUCAUCACUCACUCAUCCGCUUCCCAGCUUCUGUAAUUUUGUUGCUGUUGUCUCUUCUUCUGUCUUGCCUGUCCUUGUGGAGAGAAAACCAUGUGAGGACACAGCGAGAAGGUGGCGUCUACAAGCCAAGGGGAGAGGCCUGGGAAGAAACCAGCCCUGCUGACACCUUGACCUUGGACUUCUGGCCUCCAGACUGAUGGAUUCUUUACCACUGGACCACCAAGGAAGUCCGCAACUUCAUCUUUUUCCUAAAACACAUGAAUCUGAAGAAUUCUAACCACGGCCCCUUGGACCAGCUGCUCUUCUGCAGGUUAAACAAGCCACAUCUUUAUGUCAUCUCUUCCACUCUGGCCAUCUGGUCGCCUGGCUGGCCCAGAACCUGCAGUGCUGUAGCAGGACUGUGGGCAUCCUCGACACGCUGAAGCCCAUGCACCAUGCCAGAGGAUGGGCCCUGUCUGGAGCAGCCAGUGCAAGCAGAGCAGUCACGAUUCACUGGAACAGGAGACAAAACCAGUAUCCUUUAAAUUCUCAUGGCUACUUUACACUUUUUAAGGGAUUUUACAAACUGGGUUAAACUUACUACUCACCACGACCCUUUGGGGUGGGCAUUUCAGGAAGAGAAGGCCUCAGUCAGGGAGAUUAGCAUUUACGCUGGUCUUCUAAGUCCUUAAUGUGUGGGCUCUUUCCACUCUGCAGCCUGCCUUUGAUUUCACAUAAAAACAAACCAAAAAUCAAAUAAGCAAAACAAAAACAAAACCAAAAAGAUCGUUUGCUAAGUUGUCCCAAGUUUUAUAAUUCUGAGAGACUGCGAACGUCUUCUAUAGAGGUAGAAGAAACGGAUUGAACUGCUCCCCAUAUCACAGUGCACAUCGACAAGGACCAAAGGCUGUUUGUGGGGUGCCCUUGGUACCUGGCCCUCCAUGAGCCAGGAGAGCCAGGGGCCUCGUCUUGGCUCUACUGGCGAGACCUGAGCCCACCUCCACACAAGGGUAAGGGAACAGUUAAACCUCCACUUUGUGAAAAGAGCAGUCCCCUUCCCCAUGGCUGCAUAAGAGGAGCCCAGAGUUUCCUUAGGGAAAUCCUCAGGUCUGUGACCUGGGCCCUGCCAGGGCUCAGGAGAUGCCUCUCCUGCAGGGGCUGGAAAGGAAAAGUGGCAGCUGGGGGUGGGGUGAGGGCUGGGAUGGGGAAGGUGGAGUGAAAGAGGGCCCCUGGCAGCCAGGAUGAGAGCGAGUGGUACCCAGAGGCCUCUAGCAAAGGAUCCCCGCUGGGCUGUGCACACCACCCAGGCCCGCCCUGGCUGUUUUCAUCCCAGUCAGCAUGUGCCCCCAAGGCUGCACGUUCACCUCUACUAACUUUAUUUUCCCCUUUAGGAUGCUCUCCUUGGCCAUUUUAACCUAAUUUCAUCAGGAUAAACUAGUUAGGGAGGCAGAAGGAAGAGGCACAUAGGAAAAUUUCCUUGCAGUCUGGAGCAUCAGGGUCCCCCAGGGAAUGAGAAAAGGGCUUCUCUUCUUGCGCAUAGAAAAAGAUGUUUUGCACAUAGAAAAAGACAAGUGUCUACAAAAGACACUCCCUGGUGUUCUAAACUGGCAAAUGCUGGGCUAGGGAGAAAGGAGGCAGGGAGAGGAAGGUGGAGGGGUUUCUGCAGGAAGUCAGCUUUCUGACCUCUCACUGAUAGAUCUAGUUGCAGGGAGUGAUAUUUUAAAUAUUCAACAAGCAAGCCUGACCAAUCAGAGCAGUCACCCGUGGUGGGGCCUUGGUGUCAGCUCCUGGAGGCCCCCUGCUGGGCCAUAUGUUCCCCCAUUGGUUGCAGGAUAGUGGAGGGUCUGGGGGGGCCAGGGCUUUGGCUGUUUAGCAACCUGUGUGAAGUGUUUCCACUUGAAUGCGUGGUGUGGCUGCAUCGUUUCACAGCAGCUGAAUGUCAGUCUGGUGGGCCCGGGAUGAGAGAUGCUGGUCCUGGUGGCCUCUCCACUGCCUCGAGCUCAUCAGAUGCUUUUUCCAAGUCACUCCCAGCAUCAGUGGCCUCACCCAGUUCCCUGGCAGCAUUGCAGACGUUUCUUCUCUCCCACACAGAGUCGGGCAGUGCCAGAUGUCCUGGGGAACAGCUGGGUGCCUCCUGGCCUGCAGGAGCUCAUGCAUGUGUGGCUCUGACAUCCGAGGAGCAGGCGGCUCUUGCUUUACCAGGAGGGAUCUUUCUCUUGUUUCUCACCCUCUUCUUCCAGGCUGACGUGCAGCUGGCACUGGCUGUGCCUCAUCUCAUCAGGAAUCCAGGGUUCUUCCUCCAUAAAGAGGAGGGGCCCGGGCUUCCAGAACCACGGACAGAUGUCUGCGGGAAGGGGCCUCCACACCUGCCAAACCGCCAGCUUCCUUUCUCGUUCUCAAGGGCCCUGGGGAACACAAGCAUUUGAAAAACGUGUCGUAUGCCCUGCAGUUUCCACUUUCCCCGAAGACAAGCUAUCUCGUCUGAGAGUGAAAAAUCAGGCAGCUGAGUUUCCUGAGAUGGGAGGUGAGAGGUGGUCUGUGAGACAAUGUACACGUUGCCCAGGAGCCUCACUUCCUAAGACCAGCCCGGGAUGGGCGUGGGGACAUUAGCGGCCUUGUCCUGAAAGAGGAGACCAUAAAGACCCGUCUUCAUUUUCACGAUCUGAGAACUUCUCUUCUGGUGAGGCUUGCAAUGGAGCGCUGCGUUUUAUCCUUCUUCUUUCUAUGUAUUUCUAAGAUAUAUAGUUUAAAAAUUCACAUUUAUAAAAACAUCACAACCCGGUGCCUCCUGCCUCACCCAUUCUUACCCACAGUUACUAUUUCCCAGAGCCAACUGCUGGCUGUGAUUUUAGUGGUACCCCUGGUAUUUGCAGCAGUCAUUCUAAAUAGUAUGUUUAUAAAGCUGUAUCUUUACUUUGAUAAUUUUGGAAAUCUUCUACUGACAUUGCUGUGGAAGAUGAGGGUUUAGCGUUCCUCCCCACUCCUAGACACAGGUGUUCACACCUGUCUCUCACUUUCCCACAGAGUUCUCAUCCCAUCUUAGAUGCCACCCAUCAUAAGAUGUAGCAUUAUUUAUGUCACUACAAAAGAACAAAUGUGCUCCCAGUUAAACUUUGAAACAAUACUUUCUUAUCACAUUGACUACAAGUUGCAGUCUGACUUCCAAGAUGUUAAAAUGUGAGAAGUAUGUGCACGUUAGAAUAUUAUAAAUUAUGGACAGCACAAUUUCUGAUUAAAUCACCGAUAAGUAUUUGCAUUAUUUUGACUGUCUACACAGUGUACUAUAAUUACAUUUUGCUUCUUGUACAUCUCUCCCCCCCAGAGUUAAUAAUUGCCUUAUCUAUUUAAUUGUGUAGUAUUUUGGGGUGUUUAUGAGUAAUUCAUCCCCAGACUCUCUUCAACAUGAUGAACACAUUGGUAAUCUCUCAGUUGUGUUUCCCUCCUUGUGGGGAUGUCUUCCUGGGGAUGUCUUCCUGGAGCUCUCUUCCUGCUCCAAACUCGGGGCUGGUUCCCGGUUGGCCCACUGCAGUUACCAACUCAGAGCUUCCCUUUAGCAUCAUCCUGGGAAUCCCCUUUCCUUCUCUCCUGGGUUGGAUCCCCUAUUUCCUGGAGCUUCUGUCUUCUUUCUUGGGUAAUUCUUUGUUUUGUUGGAGCACACCCUUCAGUAGAUUCUUGAGAAAGGGUUCAUGGCAGGUGAAUGUUUGGGGACCUUGUAAGUGUCUUUAUUGGACUGUUGCACGUGAUAGCUUGUCUGGAUAUAGACUUGGACUUCGCAAAUAAUUUUUCUUCGUGUGAGAGGCUUCCCUUCAAUGUCUCGUGAUUUAGUGCUCAUACUAAAGGGAUGUGUGUCAGGGUGAAGCUUAUGGACCACUGGGCUCCGGGUUGGUAAUUCUGCAGCAAUCUGGGUGCUUCACUCGGGGAUCCUGCUAGGUCAGUCUCUGUCUUUUCUCUGGGACUCAUCAGCUUCCCUAGAGAUGAAUCAUCUGAUCUGCCUGUAGGGUAUAAGCCUCACUGCCAGCAUUCUGGGAGCCAAGAGGGGGGAGGAGACUGCGGGAUGUUACAGUCCAAAAUGCAGACUGUCACUUAAUCCUGUUUCAGCAGCGGGUCACAUGCCGGCUCCCAGUUGUGCCUGCUGUCCAGAUGAUCUCUGAUUCAACCUCUUCUCCCAGGGCGGGGCAGGGGCACGGCCUGGCUGUGCAGGCCAUGGGAAGAAAUGGGGCGUCUCCUUGUUCCUCGCACAGGUUUUCAACACAUUUGUUUUCAGCAUACCUGCACCCAUGUUCUGCACAAAGGGAACCAAUUUCUGUUUCUUUCUAAGGUUCUGUGGAAGCUGGUUCCAACCUUCCAGACUUCCCUCCCUGUGGGCUUAGGUUUUGGCUGUAUCUUCUCUAUGAAAUUAAUUACCUCUCAUUCGUUUGCUUUUUUUAGUUUCCAGAAUAUUGUUGACAUUUUUUGUCUGCUCUUGUCUCCAUUCCUGUUCUCUCUUUGUCCUUAUGGGUCUAGACAAGGUAUGCUGGUAAAUGUUUGACAAGUGGCUCUUGAGGGGUGGGAGAGCCCUGACUUGUAGCAGUCCUGUUUCAAGGGUGUAAAUGCUCCUACCAUGGCUAUUUCAAGCAACCAAAAGGAUAUUACUGAGCAUGCAGAUGGGAAAAAGUGCAGAGAAGCACAUCAUUAUAUAAUAUUUCCACCAUACAGAUACAAUAGACAUAGACACUAGCUAUAAAUAACCUCAAGAGAAUAUAUAAUUGUAAAAUUACUAUGAAGUGAUGUUUUGAGAAAUUGUUAGCCUUGUUUUCAAUGUAAUUUUUAAAAUUGUAAGCUUAUAUGAUUUAGCUUCAAAAAUAACUGUAUUUAGAUUGAACUUGGUGUACCCCCCAAAAAAUAAUAAAUAAAUAAAUUAAAAAAAAAAACUGUAUUUAACAACUGGUUCAAAAAAUUCCUAAAAAUGUGAUAAUCGGUUCUCACAAGCCAAUAUCAACUGGUCCUGGCAUAUCACUGGGUUAAUGCCUCUUUUUCCCCCCAUGUACCCGUCACUCACUUUAUUUUUUUUAAGAACUUUUAUUGAGAUACCGUUGACAUACCAUAAGCUGCAUAUAUUUAAAGUGUACAAUUUGAUAUUUU